CUUCAGCUUCUUGGUUUCUGCACCUUUGAGGCAUGUGUUGGCAUAUUCUGGCCGUCAAUCAUGAAGAUGAGAUCUCAGUACAUUCCUGAGGAAGCGAGAAGCACAAUCAUGAACUUCUUCCGCAUACCACUCAACUUAUUUGUUUGUGUGGUGCUUUACAUCGUGAAUGCAUUCCCUAUCACUGUCAUGUUUGGGAUGUGUUCUAUCUUCCUCUUCAUGGCAGCCAUCUUGCAGAGACGGUUGAUGGUUGUCUCUGAUCU
Long non-coding RNA from Zea mays, 260 nucleotides. RefSeq lists it as uncharacterized. The record is from RefSeq and is a predicted model, not a curated record. Lineage: Eukaryota; Viridiplantae; Streptophyta; Magnoliopsida; Poales; Poaceae. The transcript has 2 exons.